GACGAACGCUGGCGGCGUGCCUAAUACAUGCAAGUCGAACGCAGUGGGGACUGGUGAGUAACACGUGGGUAACCUCCCAUCAGAGUGGAGAACACGUGGAAACCGGUGCUAAACCGAUACUGAUGGAUGGACCCGCGGUGCAUUAGCUAGUGGGUGAGGUAACGGCUCACCAAGGCCACGAUGCAUAGCCGACCGGAGAGGGUGAUCGGCCACACUGGGACUGAGACACGGCCCAGACUCCUACGGGAGGCAGCAGUAGGGAAUCUUAGGCAAUGGACGAAAGUCUGACCGAGCAACGCCGCGUGAGUGAAGAAGGUUUUCGGAUCGUAAAACUCUGUUGUCAGAGAAGCGGUAUCUAACCAGAAAGCCACGGCUAACUACGUGCCAGCCGCCGCGGUAAUUC
Molecule: ribosomal RNA, 403 nt
Filed under: uncultured bacterium
Lineage: Bacteria
Description: partial 16S ribosomal RNA
Rfam family: Bacterial small subunit ribosomal RNA
Source: RNAcentral